UCCGCGAUGAGACAUGCACAGCUUAGCAAUUUAUACCUACAGCCUCACAAUCUUAUGAGAGCUACGUAGGACAGGUCGGAGAUGAGGGAGAAGGGGUUUAUCUCAGAAAGGUAUCACACCCACACUGUCCCACCUGAGCUAUGUAGGACAGGUCAGAGAUGAGGGAGAAGGGGUUUAUCUCAGAAAGGUAUCACACCCACACUGUCCCACCUGAGCUACGUAGGACAGGUCGGAGAUGAGGGAGAAGGGGUUUAUCUCAGAAAGGUAUCACACCCACACUGUCCCACCUGAGCUACGUAGGACAGGUCGGAGAUGAGGGAG
Molecule: long non-coding RNA, 321 nt
Organism: Brienomyrus brachyistius
Lineage: Eukaryota; Metazoa; Chordata; Actinopteri; Osteoglossiformes; Mormyridae
Exons: 3
Source: RefSeq, a predicted model, not a curated record